Molecule: antisense RNA, 100 nt
Filed under: Staphylococcus aureus
Lineage: Bacteria; Bacillati; Bacillota; Bacilli; Caryophanales; Staphylococcaceae
Also listed under: 2 other names
Rfam family: ctRNA
About the family: Rolling circle replication plasmids contain a number of mechanisms to maintain a low copy number. One of these methods is to transcribe a small RNA called ctRNA (for counter-transcribed RNA) than is transcribed on the opposite strand to RepB the replication initiation protein. ctRNA binds to the mRNA of repB and causes translational inhibition.
Source: RNAcentral
AUACAAUAGUUAUAAAACACACCGAAUAUGUUUUUUCUUUUGGAUAAGUCGCAUUCACAAACUUUGGUCGGGGAGUGGGCGACUUCUUUUUUAUUUUGUU